RNAcentral lists this ribosomal RNA (176 nucleotides) under uncultured bacterium. RNAcentral's name for it is "partial 16S ribosomal RNA". It matches the Rfam family "Bacterial small subunit ribosomal RNA", at positions 338 to 524 of the family's 1533-position model. The record is from RNAcentral.
CCUACGGGAGGCAGCAGUAGGGAAUUUUCGGCAAUGGGCGGAAGCCUGACCGAGCAAUGCCGCGUGAUCGAAGAAGUAUUUCGGUAUGUAAAGAUCUUUUAUUUGGGAAGAAAAAACAAAUUGACUGAACCAAAUGAAUAAGCUCCGGCUAACUACGUGCCAGCCGCCGCGGUAAU